Long non-coding RNA from Malus domestica (apple), 393 nucleotides. RefSeq lists it as uncharacterized. The record is from RefSeq and is a predicted model, not a curated record. NCBI's taxonomy places the organism in Eukaryota, Viridiplantae, Streptophyta, Magnoliopsida, Rosales, Rosaceae.
UUUAAGUUUUGACUGAUUAGGACCGUUUCAAUAGACCUAUUGCAAGUGCUAGAGAUACUUGGUUUGAUGUGCUUGAACGCUACUCCAACGACUACGAAACACACAAGAGGCUUUAUUAAUAGUGACUUUAGACCACAAGAGGAAGGCUUGAUACAACGCUGUUCAAGUUGGGUUACUGGUGAACGCCUAAGCUUUUUUACUUUAAUGGACAUCAAUGCUUUUUGGGUCGUUAAUGUUUGUUUUCCGUCCAUUUUCCUUGCUGCUUUUGUAUUUAGGAUUUUAAGCUCAAUCGUGAAAUUGAGUGUAGGCCUUUUUUAUUGUACAUAAGUUCUUAACGUGGAGUCAAUACAAAUCUUCCUUGUACAUAUUCUACUGUUUAAGUAAUGAACAAAA